UUUCUUUCUCAGUAACAAAAAAAAAACCUCUCUUCCUCGCAAAGUUGUUUCUCUUCUCCGAUCACCCUCCGCCUCUUCCGCGUCGUCGCCGCUGGAGUUCCCCUCUCUACCCUUUCUUCGCCGUCGGCGUCUCCCCCUCUCUACACUUUCUUCUUUGACGGGGAUAAUAAUGAUGGUUGUCGUGUUUUGGCGCCCGAGUUGGGAGUAGUGGUACAGAUAUGAGCGUUUUGAUGUCGGAGUUGGGGUGGCGGCGUAGAUUCGA
RNAcentral lists this long non-coding RNA (262 nucleotides) under Medicago truncatula (barrel medic). Its description in RNAcentral is "long non-coding RNA (MTRU_LNC006476)". The record is from RNAcentral. Lineage: Eukaryota; Viridiplantae; Streptophyta; Magnoliopsida; Fabales; Fabaceae.